GGCCUGCUGGCCCAAUGGCAAGGCGCUUGACUACGAUUCAAAGGAUUUCCGAUUCCUUGGAUUGAUAUCAAGAGAUUGCAGGUUCGAUCCCUGCGUAGGUCA
Molecule: non-coding RNA, 102 nt
Organism: Ciborinia camelliae
Lineage: Eukaryota; Fungi; Ascomycota; Leotiomycetes; Helotiales; Sclerotiniaceae
Source: the annotation of a GenBank genome assembly